Molecule: unclassified non-coding RNA, 178 nt
Filed under: Nitrosomonas cryotolerans
Lineage: Bacteria; Pseudomonadati; Pseudomonadota; Betaproteobacteria; Nitrosomonadales; Nitrosomonadaceae
Description: 6S / SsrS RNA
Source: RNAcentral
UGCUCCCUGCGGUGUUAGUUUAGACCCCUAUUCUUUGAACCAAUUUUAAGAAAUAGGUUGUAAGUCAGAGUGAUGUUGUUGUGAGCUUCCUGCAAGGAAGCACCUGAUACAUCCGACAAGCGACCGCCUUGGACCUUAUGGUUCAAGAUGAAGGGCUGACGGCAUUUGUGGGGAGCUU